AUGAAUCUGAAGAGAAUGCUUGGAAAAUUGCAUGAGUGGAGUAGCACUUAUAUUGGAUAUCUACCCAGGAAACUUGAUUUGGCGAGGAAAAGACUAAAUAGUCUUUACAAUAGAAAUGAUACUGCAGCCUUGGUUGAAAGGAAGGCGAUUCUUAAAGAAAUGGAUGAGCUCCUUUAUAAAGAAGAAAUUUUAUGGAAGCAAAGAUCACAGAUUGAUAAAAUUAAAUGGGGGGAUAGGAACACAAAAUUCUUCAGAUCUAAGGCUACAUGGAGAGCUAAGAAAAAUAAUAUUUCGAGCUUGAGAAGGAAUGAUGGCACGGUUACAGAGAAUGUGGCAGAGAUCCAUAAUAUCACUAACUCAUUUUUCAAGGAUCUAUACACAUGUGAUGGUACGGUUGAUCCUUCUCUGAUCAUUCCCCUCGUCAAGCCGCUUGUGAGUGAGGAUAUGAAUGUUGAUAUUUGUAAACCGUUCACGGACCAAGAGAUUAGCGACGCUCUCUUUCAAAUUGGCCCACUUAAAGCUCCGGGUCCUGAUGGUUUUCCAGCAAGGUUCUUUCAAAGGAAUUGGGGAGUGCUGAAGGAGGAUAUUAUUCGUGCGGUUAAAAAGUUUUUUCAUACGGGGACAAUGCCGGAGGGCGUAAACGAUACGGUGAUUGUUCUUAUUCCUAAGGUGAAAAAUCCCCAAUCAAUCAAAGACUUCCGUCCUAUCAGUCUGUGUAAUGUUGUUUAUAAAAUCAUAUCAAAGUGCCUUGUGAACAGACUGAGACUGCAUCUUGAUGGUAUGAUUUCUCCAACCCAAAGUGCCUUUAUUCCAGGGAGACUUAUUUCUGAUAAUGCUCUUAUUGCGUUUGAGUGUAUGCAUUCCUUAAGAACUCUGAAGGAUGGGCGGCGUGAAUUCUGUGCUUAUAAAUUGGAUCUUGCCAAGGCUUAUGAUAGAGUGGAUUGGAAUUUUUUGAAGUGCAUGUUGAGCGCAUUGGGGUUCGCACCAGAGUGGAUAAAGUGGAUUAUGGCAUGUGUUACUUCAGUAAAAUUUUCAGUACGCUUCAAUGGCCAGCUCUUGGAGUCGUUCUCCCCGUCAUGUGGUAUUAGGCAAGGGGAUCCUCUCUCACCAUACUUAUUCUUAUUUGUGGCUGAAACUCUUUCCUUAUUGCUACAGAAUGCGUGUACUAGUGGAUCACUUCUGGAGUUCAAGGUUAAUAGAUAG
RNAcentral lists this ribosomal RNA (1203 nucleotides) under Triticum aestivum (bread wheat). RNAcentral's name for it is "partial small subunit ribosomal RNA". Lineage: Eukaryota; Viridiplantae; Streptophyta; Magnoliopsida; Poales; Poaceae. The record is from RNAcentral.